GAUGAACGCUGGCGGCGCACAUAAGACAUGCAAGUCGAACGGACUUAACUUCAUUCUUUACGAUUGAAGAGCGGUUAGUGGCGGACUGGUGAGUAACACGUAAGCAACCUGCCUAUCAGAGGGGAAUAACAGUGAGAAAUCAUUGCUAAUACCGCAUAAGCUGAUAAUAUCGCAUGAUAUAGUCAGAAAAGGAGCAAUCCGCUGAUAGAUGGGCUUGCGUCUGAUUAGCUAGUUGGUGGGGUAACGGCCUACCAAGGCGACGAUCAGUAGCCGAGCUGAGAGGGUGAACGGCCACAUUGGGACUGAGACACGGCCCAAACGUCCUACGGGAGGCAGCAGUGGGGAAUAUUGCACAAUGGGGGGAAACCCUGAUGCAGCGACGCCGCGUGAGUGAAGAAGUAUUUCGGUACGUAAAGCUCUAUCAGCAGGGAAGAAAAUGACGGUACCUGACCAAGAAGCCCCGGCUAACUACGUGCCAG
RNAcentral lists this ribosomal RNA (479 nucleotides) under uncultured bacterium. RNAcentral describes it as "bacterial SSU rRNA". It matches the Rfam family "Bacterial small subunit ribosomal RNA", at positions 28 to 511 of the family's 1533-position model. The record is from RNAcentral.